RNAcentral lists this ribosomal RNA (503 nucleotides) under Halomonas sp. V4S-036. Its description in RNAcentral is "bacterial SSU rRNA". It matches the Rfam family "Bacterial small subunit ribosomal RNA", at positions 1 to 499 of the family's 1533-position model. The record is from RNAcentral. Lineage: Bacteria; Pseudomonadati; Pseudomonadota; Gammaproteobacteria; Oceanospirillales; Halomonadaceae.
UUAGAGUUUGAUCCAUGGCUCAGAUUGAACGCUGGCGGCAGGCCUAACACAUGCAAGUCGAGCGGAAACGAUGGAAGCUUGCUUCCAGGCGUCGAGCGGCGGACGGGUGAGUAAUGCAUAGGAAUCUGCCCGAUAGUGGGGGAUAACCUGGGGAAACUCAGGCUAAUACCGCAUACGUCCUACGGGAGAAAGCAGGGGAUCUUCGGACCUUGCGCUAUCGGAUGAGCCUAUGUCGGAUUAGCUGGUUGGUGAGGUAACGGCUCACCAAGGCGACGAUCCGUAGCUGGUCUGAGAGGAUGAUCAGGCACAUCGGGACUGAGACACGGCCCGAACUCCUACGGGAGGCAGCAGUGGGGAAUAUUGGACAAUGGGGGCAACCCUGAUCCCUGCCAUGCCGCGUGUGUGAAGAAGGCUUUCGGGUUGUAAAGCACUUUCAGUGGGGAAGAAGGCAUUGGGGCUAAUACCCUCGAGGAAGGACAUCACCCACAGAAGAAGCACCGCAA